CUCCUAGUGGCGUAGUUGGCUCAACGUGUUCGGCUGUAAUAGAUUCUUUGAUACCGAAAGAUCACCUAUUCGAUUCAGGUCUGGGAGA
This 88-nucleotide transfer RNA is filed under the name Xylaria grammica. Its description in RNAcentral is "tRNA-Tyr". Lineage: Eukaryota; Fungi; Ascomycota; Sordariomycetes; Xylariales; Xylariaceae. The record is from RNAcentral.